UUCUAUCCGUCUUUUCCCCCCUGAUUUAGCUUGAUCAAAGUCCAUUUGAUCAACUAGAUCCUACAACCUUGCACUUCCCUUUUUAUCUUUGUCAAAUGACCAUAAGUCCCUUGGUCACUUGAUAGAACUUGUCUCUAUUACUUUAGAGCUUCAACCUCUCAACAAGCACAAGACCUUAAGCACCAGUCAGACAUCAGUCAUCUUCC
RNAcentral lists this long non-coding RNA (206 nucleotides) under Lathyrus oleraceus (garden pea). Its description in RNAcentral is "Pisum sativum (pea) long non-coding RNA (PSAT_LNC005169)". Lineage: Eukaryota; Viridiplantae; Streptophyta; Magnoliopsida; Fabales; Fabaceae. The record is from RNAcentral.